AGCGACAACAAGAGAGACAGGAGAAUUGACAGAAAGAGAGAGAAACGUGGAGCUAAAGUAAAGUUCAGAAAUAAUGAGGUUAUGGUAGAUACCUUGCUGAAUGUUUCAGUAACAGAAGAAGCUGUAGCUGAGGACAGUAACUUGGACACAGUGGAUUAGGGCGCUUGAGUUUUGCCAGAGUGACUGUGCUAACUAAGCUAAAGCUAGCGAGUUGCUAGCCAAGAGGACGCCAUUGCUGGCGGAAAGGACUGUUAGGAGCUUCCUGAGGAGGACUUUGCUUCUGCUGCCGUUUGCUUUCAUCUUCAUCUCUUCAUGAACUGUUUCUCCAGGACUUAUUCCAGACCGACCAGUAUGUAGGAUUUUGUGGCAUCUAGUGGUGAACCAACUGAAUACCACUAAGAGAACUACAGUGGGUGGAAAACUUGUCAAAGAAACAGCGGUGACAAGAGACGACUGUUGUGUCUCCUCACGUGACCUGUGUCUUGGCAAAAAAGUGACACCAGAACACACCACACCGACAACAGCAAACAACCAUCUAGUAUGUACAUUCAACCGAUGUGCGAGAGCUGAACAGCCAAUCAGAGUGAUUUGUCUCACCGAUGGUACCCGCCGCCAAUUCAACAUGCUCAGUUGGUUGGAAAAGCAGUAGAUGAGAGUCGACAGGUGUUUGAUAAAUUGAUCAUACAACUACAACCACAGCCUCCACCUGUCUACCCAAAACACACCUGGCUGGUUGGGAUAGACCUCACACCCUCAAAUUCUCCAAAACUCUCCAAAACUCCCCCAAAAAGCCCUUUAAUGGAGAAGAAAAUGGAAGAAACCUUAGGAAGAGAAACAGAGGAGGGAUUCCUAUCCCAGGGCAGACUGACAAGCAAUGGAUAUAUUCCAGUGUAUACUGGAGCACAUAGAGCAGGUAUGACAGCACUGACUGCAGAGCUGAUACCUCCUGUUCAAGACAAUGUUCAAAAUUCUACCAGAAGUGCUGCAGUGCAUCCCAGUAGUGUCUCUCCACUCUGCUCCAUGAAGAAUACGCAGCUGGUCUAUUUUUGAUGGAAGCUACGACCCAGAGCACAGAGCAGAUCGCAAUGGCAGGAAGUCAAACACAGAAACAGCAUAGAUAAUCCUGUCAAUUUUCAAAAUAAAAUACCUACUCUUAGAGCAUGCCUUUUUCCUUUUGAGUUGGUUAAAGCGUA
This is a long non-coding RNA of Dicentrarchus labrax (European seabass), 1193 nucleotides long. RefSeq lists it as uncharacterized. The record is from RefSeq and is a predicted model, not a curated record. The transcript is spliced from 5 exons. NCBI's taxonomy places the organism in Eukaryota, Metazoa, Chordata, Actinopteri, Moronidae.